UACGUAGGGGGCAAGCGUUGUCCGGAUUUAUUGGGCGUAAGGAGCGUGUAGGCGGCCAUGCAGGUCAGCUGUGAAAACUCGAGGCUCAACCUCGAGACGUCGGUUGAAACCGUAUGGCUAGAGUCCGGAAGAGGAGAGUGGAAUUCCCGGUGUAGCGGUGAAAUGCGCAGAUAUCGGGAAGAACACCUAUGGCGAAGGCAGCUCUCUGGGACGGUACUGACGCUGAGACGCGAAAGCGUGGGGAGCAAACAGG
This 253-nucleotide ribosomal RNA is filed under the name uncultured bacterium. Its description in RNAcentral is "partial 16S ribosomal RNA". It matches the Rfam family "Bacterial small subunit ribosomal RNA", at positions 524 to 776 of the family's 1533-position model. The record is from RNAcentral.